RNAcentral lists this non-coding RNA (85 nucleotides) under Pseudomonas cuatrocienegasensis. Lineage: Bacteria; Pseudomonadati; Pseudomonadota; Gammaproteobacteria; Pseudomonadales; Pseudomonadaceae. RNAcentral also lists the same sequence under 1 other name. The record is from RNAcentral.
CUUUAUGGCAGGCCGCGUGGGGAGACCCUCGGGUCUGUCGGUUCCCGUUAGCCGGCUCGCCAACCCUGCGCGGUCUGCCACCCAU